RNAcentral lists this ribosomal RNA (436 nucleotides) under uncultured bacterium. Its description in RNAcentral is "bacterial SSU rRNA". It matches the Rfam family "Bacterial small subunit ribosomal RNA", at positions 28 to 465 of the family's 1533-position model. The record is from RNAcentral.
GAUGAACGCUAGCGGCAGGCCUAACACAUGCAAGUCGAGGGAGAAGCCCUUUCGGGGGCAGAAACCGGCGCACGGGUGCGUAACGCGUAUGCAACCUACCUUUCACAGGGGGAUAGCCCGAAGAAAUUUGGAUUAAUACCCCAUAAUAUUAUUGGAUGGCAUCAUUUGAUAAUUAAAGCUACGACGGUGAAAGAUGGGCAUGCGUCCUAUUAGCUAGUUGGAGUGGUAACGGCACCCCAAGGCUACGAUAGGUAGGGGUCCUGAGAGGGAGAUCCCCCACACUGGUACUGAGACAGGGACCAGACUCCUACGGGAGGCAGCAGUGAGGAAUAUUGGUCAAUGGUCGGAAGACUGAACCAGCCAUGCCGCGUGCAGGAAGAAUGCCUUAUGGGUUGUAAACUGCUUUUAUAUGGGAAGAAUAAGGCGUACGUGUACG